CGUAGGGUGCGAGCGUUAAUCGGAAUUACUGGGCGUAAAGCGUGCGCAGGCGGUUUUGUAAGCCAGAUGUGAAAUCCCCGGGCUCAACCUGGGAAUGGCAUUUGGGACUGCAAGGCUUGAGUGCGGCAGAGGAGACUGGAAUUCCUGGUGUAGCAGUGAAAUGCGUAGAUAUCAGGAGGAAUACCGAUGGCGAAGGCAGGUCUCUGGGCUGACACUGACGCUCAUGCACGAAAGCGUGGGGAGCAAACAGGAUUAGAUACCCUGGUAGUCCACGCCCUAAACGAUGUCGACUGGUUGUUGGGGGUUUGACACUCUCAGUAACGAAGCUAACGCGUGAAGUCGACCGCCUGGGGAGUACGGCCGCAAGGUUA
Molecule: ribosomal RNA, 371 nt
Filed under: uncultured organism
Description: bacterial SSU rRNA
Rfam family: Bacterial small subunit ribosomal RNA
Source: RNAcentral